RNAcentral lists this unclassified non-coding RNA (1343 nucleotides) under uncultured Neocallimastigales. RNAcentral describes it as "partial contains internal transcribed spacer 1, 5.8S ribosomal RNA, internal transcribed spacer 2, and large subunit ribosomal RNA". The stretch from base 577 to 1343 matches the Rfam family "Eukaryotic large subunit ribosomal RNA", at positions 1 to 630 of the family's 3401-position model. The record is from RNAcentral. Lineage: Eukaryota; Fungi; Neocallimastigomycota; Neocallimastigomycetes; Neocallimastigales.
UGAAUUUGUUUGUUUGAAAUAAUUUUUUUUCCAAAAAAAUUAUUGAAUGUCUUUCCCUGUUUCGUUGAAGCGUAAAAGUGGAGACCAAGCAGGGGAAUGGCAAACAUUAUUUUUUUGAAAAAAGACUUUUUUUAAAAUUAAACUUUUUGUAUUCAUUUGUCUAAAAUUAUUUUAUAAUAUAAAAACAACUUUUGACAAUGGAUCUCUUGGUUCUCGCAACGAUGAAGAACGCAGCAAAAUGCGAUAAGUAAUGUGAAUGCAGAAUACGUGAAUCAUCGAAUCUUCGAACGCAUAUUGCACUUUUUUAGUUUACUAAAAAGUAUGUCUGUUUGAGUAUCAGUAAAAUAUUCUCAUAAAAACUUUUUUUGUUUUUAUGGUUAUGAGUGUUUUACAACGAUAAACAAGUUGUUUCACUUUAAAUUCUUUGAAAUUUAAAAAUCGUUAAAACUAAUUUUAAAAUGAUUUUUUAAAAUUGGAUAAAAUUUUCCCGUAAAAAAGGAAUAACCUAAACAAUUUAAAAAAUUUAAAAUUGGUUGAUUUUUUUAAAUCCCAAAAGGAAAAAAGUAAAAAUUAACUUGAUCUCAAAUCAGAUAAGAGUACCCGCUGAACUAAGCAUAUCAAUAAGCGGAGGAAAAGAAACUAACUAGGAUUCCUCAGUAACGGCGAGUGAAGCGGGAAGAGCUCAAAUUUGAAAUCUUCAAGGUUCUACCUUGACGAAUUGUAGUUUAAAGAAGUGUUUUCUGUUGGAAUAGUUUGGUAUAAGUUCUUUGGAAUAGGACAUCAUGGAGGGUGAGAAUCCCGUAACGACCAUUUAUUCCAGCUCUGUGAUACACUUUCAAAGAGUCGAUUGUUUGGGAAUGCAGUCCAAAUGGGUGUAAAUUUCAUCUAAAGCUAAAUAUUGGCGGAGACGAUAGCGAACAAGUACCGUGAGGAAAGAUGAAAAGAACUUUGAAAAGAGAGUUAAACAGUACGUGAAAUUGUCAAAAGGGAGCGUUUGACACCAGUGUUGUUUUCUCGAAAUCAAUUAAAAAUGGCUUGAUUUUGUGUAAGGCGACCUUAUCAGCGUUUUGCACUCUUUUCUUGUCCUUUUUAAUGCACUUUUCGUUUAACAAGUCAACAUCAAUUUCUUUUGUUGUAAAAGAGUCAUUGGAAGGUGGCUUUCUUUUCGGAGAAAGUGUUUAUAGCCUUGGCUUCUGCAAUCGGAGAGUUGAGGUCUGCAGCGUAGAUCCUUCGGGUUAGAUGCAUUAGUGCUAAGUUAUAGCCUUUCACAGACAACUUGUUGACUAUGAUCAGUCAUGUAGCUUACUCGCUGAUGUAUUUUUACCUACGCUUAGGAUGUUGAC